GACGACGAUUUCACAACUUUGGAGUUUUGGCCGGAAUCUGGAAUUCUGGUGCUGGAAUUUACAGUCACUUUAUUUGCUUCAUGUGCGAAAUCCGACUGUUCAUCAUGUACGGGAUUCAGACCAGAAAUAGCCCUAAAUCUUAUGCACGUGAUGGAACUGGUCUUGUGUCAAUCCGAUGCGCGAGCGUAUUGAUUUGGCUACUAGAGUGAGGCGUGUCGCUGCUGAUUUUCCUGCAACUUUCUUCACGGAUCAGCAACUUCUCUCUAGCUUUUCUUCAUGCUCGGGCAUCGUCACGGGGCGUGCCACAUAUCAAAACGCU
RNAcentral lists this long non-coding RNA (319 nucleotides) under Amborella trichopoda. RNAcentral's name for it is "long non-coding RNA (ATRI_LNC003204)". The record is from RNAcentral. Lineage: Eukaryota; Viridiplantae; Streptophyta; Magnoliopsida; Amborellales; Amborellaceae.